Molecule: ribosomal RNA, 414 nt
Filed under: uncultured prokaryote
Description: bacterial SSU rRNA
Rfam family: Bacterial small subunit ribosomal RNA
Source: RNAcentral
GUGCCAGCCGCCGCGGUAAUACGGAGGGGGCAAGCGUUGUUCGGAAUUACUGGGCGUAAAGGGCGCGUAGGCGGAACGUCAAGUUAGGGGUGAAAGGCCUGGGCUCAACCUAGGAACUGCCUUUAAAACUGACGAUCUAGAGUCCGGAAGAGGAUGGCGGAAUUCCCAGUGUAGAGGUGAAAUUCGUAGAUAUUGGGAAGAACACCGGUGGCGAAGGCGGCCAUCUGGUCCGGUACUGACGCUGAGGCGCGAAAGCGUGGGGAGCAAACAGGAUUAGAUACCCUGGUAGUCCACGCCGUAAACGAUGUGUGCUAGCCGUUGGGGCACUUGGUGUCUCGGUGGCGCAGCUAACGCGUUAAGCACACCGCCUGGGGAGUACGGUCGCAAGAUUAAAACUCAAAUGAAUUGGCGGGG